RNAcentral lists this long non-coding RNA (398 nucleotides) under Hordeum vulgare. Its description in RNAcentral is "long non-coding RNA (HVUL_LNC005979)". Lineage: Eukaryota; Viridiplantae; Streptophyta; Magnoliopsida; Poales; Poaceae. The record is from RNAcentral.
CCAUUCUCCCAUAACCAACAUCAGAAAAUCUCAAGCACAGAACAGACUGAAAAUCACAAACCAAGACAUCACGUAUGUCUAAUAGAUAUCAAAGCAACAAACCAGUUCCUUCCGUACAAUUCUCAAAUUCAAUUGACAAGGCUAAGGUAGCACUUGCAUACGCACAUACAGUUUAUUGAUAGCCAUGAAAACUAAACAUUUCAUGAUUAAAACAAGAAGAUAGAUCACCAAACCACCUGAUUAGGCUGCCCGUAUGAAGAAACCAUUCGAGGGUUGACUUAUUAGAAGAUCGUAGGCUAUCGAGCAGCAACCAUUCUACAGCUGACCGGAGAACGAUAUGUUGCGUUCAGCCAUCAAGGCAGGCCUAGCCGCCGGUUGCCUGGACGAGAGAAAACAAC